CCAGAGAUGGAUUGGUGCCUUCGGGAACUGUGAGACAGGUGCUGCAUGGCUGUCGUCAGCUCGUGUUGUGAAAUGUUGGGUUAAGUCCCGCAACGAGCGCAACCCUUAUCCUUUGUUGCCAGCGGUCGGCCGGGAACUCAAAGGAGACUGCCAGUGAUAAACUGGAGGAAGGUGGGGAUGACGUCAAGUCAUCAUGGCCCUUACGACCAGGGCUACACACGUGCUACAAUGGCGCAUACAAAGAGAAGCGACC
Molecule: ribosomal RNA, 253 nt
Filed under: Escherichia coli
Lineage: Bacteria; Pseudomonadati; Pseudomonadota; Gammaproteobacteria; Enterobacterales; Enterobacteriaceae
Description: partial 16S ribosomal RNA
Rfam family: Bacterial small subunit ribosomal RNA
Source: RNAcentral